UAGGGAAUCUUCCACAAUGGACGCAAGUCUGAUGGAGCAACGCCGCGUGAGUGAAGAAGGUUUUCGGAUCGUAAAGCUCUGUUGUUGGUGAAGAAGGAUAGAGGCAGUAACUGGUCUUUAUUUGACGGUAAUCAACCAGACAGUCACGGCUAACUACGUGCCAGCAGCCGCGGUAAUACGUAGGUGGCAAGCGUUGUCCGGAUUUAUUGGGCGUAAAGCGAGCGCAGGCGGAAUGAUAAGUCUGAUGUGAAAGCCCACGGCUCAACCGUGGAACUGCAUCGGAAACUGUCAUUCUUGAGUGCAGAAGAGGAGAGUGGAAUUCCAUGUGUAGCGGUGGAAUGCGUAGAUAUAUGGAAGAACACCAGUGGCGAAGGCGGCUCUCUGGUCUGCAACUGACGCUGAGGCUCGAAAGCAUGGGUAGCGAACAGG
This 429-nucleotide ribosomal RNA is filed under the name bacterium. RNAcentral's name for it is "partial 16S ribosomal RNA". It matches the Rfam family "Bacterial small subunit ribosomal RNA", at positions 355 to 776 of the family's 1533-position model. The record is from RNAcentral.